GCAACGCCACGGACUGCUGGAGACAAAAUGGGCUGUGUCCAAGGAGAAGACCUUUGUUUGCUCCUUUUUUGAAUCUCAUAUCCAGUGUUUUUCUUCACAGGUUUUGCACACUAGGGACCAAGACGCCCUCGGGGACACCGUCGAGAAAAAACUGCCGGAGGGAAGACCACCGGGGAGAUAUACAAAUAUUUUAGGAAUCAUGGAAUCUAUUCCAGAGGAAACUAACCAACAGUGAACAUCUUCAACUAAAACUACCCCUGGAUAUAACGGUUGCAUGCAUCAUUCCUUUAAUUGAGCAGAGUUAACUGGAUCAUAUAAUUUAUGGGAGAGAAAGGAAAAGCUAUACAGAAUUAUGAUAAUUUUUAAUUUCUACCACUAUAUUCUUUGUAAGUGAAUCACUCUAUAAUUACUUUCUGUUGCACUGAAUGCAACAAUAAAAAAAUAGUAUUUUAAGGUACUUCUUUUUUGCAUACUCUGACCUUGUAAUUAUUUAA
This is a long non-coding RNA of Lemur catta (Ring-tailed lemur), 494 nucleotides long. RefSeq lists it as uncharacterized. The record is from RefSeq and is a predicted model, not a curated record. The transcript has 3 exons. NCBI's taxonomy places the organism in Eukaryota, Metazoa, Chordata, Mammalia, Primates, Lemuridae.